GCAAGUCGAGGGGUAACAUUGGUACUUGUACCAGAUGACGACCGGCGCACGGGUGCGUAACGCGUAUACAACUUGCCCUUAACAGGAGGAUAGCUCAGGGAAACCUGGAUUAAUACUCCAUAGUCUUAUAAAGUCGCAUGGCUUAAUAAGUAAAACUCCGGUGGUUAAGGAUGGGUAUGCGUGACAUUAGCUAGUUGGUGAGGUAACUGCUCACCAAGGCAACGAUGUCUAGGGGUUCUGAGAGGAUGAUC
This 251-nucleotide ribosomal RNA is filed under the name uncultured bacterium. RNAcentral describes it as "partial 16S ribosomal RNA". It matches the Rfam family "Bacterial small subunit ribosomal RNA", at positions 57 to 305 of the family's 1533-position model. The record is from RNAcentral.